UGAGAAGAACAAGGUGUGGCACUUCU
Molecule: non-coding RNA, 26 nt
Filed under: Homo sapiens (human)
Lineage: Eukaryota; Metazoa; Chordata; Mammalia; Primates; Hominidae
Source: RNAcentral